CAGACAUCCUCAUUGAGCUGCAGCUGAUCCAGUCAGGAGGUUUCUUCCCCUUUCCCUGCCAGAGAGUAUCAUUUCUUCAGAUGUGCUGGCAAGCUGCUCAGCAACCUCAGGCCAACCCCAUUCUAGCACUGGCAGACACCAUCCUGCUCCUUGUCUGUUCGGCUCGUACUCCCUACCAAAAAUCCUACCGUUUACUCUGCAGCAAGCCGUCUGUCACCAGUUUCUUCCUUGUAUCCAUCCAACCUUCUUCUUCAACUGCUUUCCUCAGAUCUUGAGGCAUGAACUUGGAAGUGAAUCUCCCCUCCGCUUACUGGCUUGUAUUUUACAUUGAAGAACGUAAACUGAAAGCUGUCCUCCAGGCAUGCAUCUGUGUGCCCCGAUAGUUAAUGAAUGCCAAGUCCAUGGAACCAGACUACAGAUUGAUUGAGGUAAAAUCACUGAACUGCAUACGUGUAUCAUGCAGACGUUGUGU
This 472-nucleotide long non-coding RNA is filed under the name Struthio camelus australis. Its description in RNAcentral is "lncRNA (ENSSCUG00000014882.1)". Lineage: Eukaryota; Metazoa; Chordata; Aves; Struthioniformes; Struthionidae. The record is from RNAcentral.